Anguilla anguilla (European eel) is the source of this 875-nucleotide long non-coding RNA. RefSeq lists it as uncharacterized. NCBI's taxonomy places the organism in Eukaryota, Metazoa, Chordata, Actinopteri, Anguilliformes, Anguillidae. The transcript has 4 exons. The record is from RefSeq and is a predicted model, not a curated record.
UUGAGGGCAGGUUUCCCGUUGCGAGGCCGAGCAGUAGCAUAAAUCUCCAAGCCCGAGAGGCGGAGUCGACAGUUGCCAACGCAUAACUUCAUCAAAGCGAGGGUCUUUAGCAAAACAACGGUCAAACAUUACACCAGAAAGGAGCAGCUCCUUUUUUUUCUGAGGAAGGACCUCACAGGUUCCUGCUAUUUAUAUUCCCGGCCUUUUAAAAUCCCGGCACACUGUGGGAUCAGAGAAUUGGGAGCCUAACGGCGGAGAGCAGACUGCAUACAGAACAUAAAGGCACGAAGUCACAGAGGGGGUGCCCCCCAAACAGGAUGUCCUGCCGUGGAUGAACUUUUGGGCCGAAGUUCGAGAGGGUGAAGAGUUCAAGGAAAACCGAGCCGGCGACAAGAGAGAGCAGAGGGAGAGGUGUCUGAGGAGACAGGGGUGAUUGAAAGGGGACGGGACAGGGGUCACGGAGAGGCCAGCGCAAGGCCAAGAGCUCACGGCGCACCAGGCCUGGCUGGGCCUCGCUGGAUCCCUGCAUGGCAGCUGUUUCUCCCCCCGGGCUGAGUGAGGGCCGCAGCCCUGCUGCUCAGAGUGCUGAUCUAGGAGCAGUUUUGCCUUUUAACUCAUAAUGGAUUAGGAUGUGGACUCGGGGGGGGAUUGCUGAUCCCAGAUCAGUUCUUCUGCUCUGAGAGGCUUUAUCAAUAUGGACCCAUCUUCAUGAGUGGAUUCUUACAGCUGCAGCCUGAUUUGAGUGAAAGGAGUAUUUUUCGUGUCAUGACCUGGUCACAGUCACUGCUGGACAGGUAUAGGCUGGUCUGGACAUGUGGGGUGAAUACAAAAUUUCAUUCUAAGGAUCUAUAUGUUAUAUGGCCUUCAAGGAAUUC